RNAcentral lists this long non-coding RNA (375 nucleotides) under Homo sapiens (human). RNAcentral's name for it is "non-protein coding lnc-LDAH-5:1". Lineage: Eukaryota; Metazoa; Chordata; Mammalia; Primates; Hominidae. The record is from RNAcentral.
AUGCCACCCAAGGACAAGAAGAAGAAGAAAGACGCUGGAAAGUUGGCCAGGAAAGACAAAGACCCAGUGAGCAAAUCCGGGGACAAGGCCAAAAAGAAGAAGUGCUCCAAAGACAUAGUUCGGGACAAGCCCAAUAACUUAGUUUUGUUUGACAAAACUACCUAAGACAAACCCUGUAAGGAAGUUCCCAACUGUAAACUUAUAACCCCAGCUAUGGUGUCUGAGAGACUGAAGAUUUGAGUCUCCCUGGCCAGGGCAGCCUUCAGGAGCUCCUUAGCAAAGGACUCAUCAAACUGGUUUCAAAGCAGAGUUCAAGUAAUUUAUACCAGAAAUACCAAGGGUGGAGAUGCACCAGCUGCUGGUGAAGACGCAUGA